RNAcentral lists this ribosomal RNA (446 nucleotides) under uncultured bacterium. Its description in RNAcentral is "partial 16S ribosomal RNA". It matches the Rfam family "Bacterial small subunit ribosomal RNA", at positions 338 to 795 of the family's 1533-position model. The record is from RNAcentral.
CCUACGGGCGGCAGCAGUCGAGAAUCAUUCACAAUGGGGGAAACCCUGAUGGUGCGACGCCGCGUGGGGGAAUGAAGGUCUUCGGAUUGUAAACCCCUGUCAUGUGGGAGCAAAUUAAAAAGAUAGUACCACAAGAGGAAGAGACGGCUAACUCUGUGCCAGCAGCCGCGGUAAUACAGAGGUCUAAAGCGUUGUUCGGAAUCACUGGGCGUAAAGCGUGCGUAGGCUGUUUCGUAAGUCGUGUGUGAAAGGCCCGGGCUCAACCCGCGGACGGCACAUGAUACUGCGAGACUAGAGUAAUGGAGGGGGAACCGGAAUUCUCGGUGUAGCAGUGAAAUGCGUAGAUAUCGAGAGGAACACUCGUGGCGAAGGCGGGUUCCUGGACAUUAACUGACGCUGAGGCACGAAGGCUAGGGGAGCGAAAGGGAUUAGAUACCCGAGUAGUC